RNAcentral lists this ribosomal RNA (253 nucleotides) under uncultured bacterium. RNAcentral describes it as "partial 16S ribosomal RNA". It matches the Rfam family "Bacterial small subunit ribosomal RNA", at positions 524 to 776 of the family's 1533-position model. The record is from RNAcentral.
UACGAGUGGUGCAAGCGUUAUUCGGAAUUACUGGGCGUAAAGGGUGCGUAGGUGGCAUAUUAAGUCAACUGUUAAAUUCCCCGGCUUAACUGGGGGUCAGCGGUAGAAACUGAUAUGCUAGAGGUUGGAAGAGAGAAGUGGAAUUCUUGGAGUAGCGGUAAAAUGCGUAGAUCUCAAGAGGAACACCGAUGGCGAAGGCAGCUUCUUGGUCCAUACCUGACACUGAGGCACGAAAGCGUGGGGAGCAAACAGG